AACCUCUCAACACACCCCAACCCUAACCUCUCCCCUCACCCCAACCCUAACCUCUCCCCUCACUCCCACCCCAACCCUAACCUCUCUCCCCAUACUCACUCCCACCCCAACCCCCUGCUUUACGAGGAGCGACCCUCUCACAGCACGAUGCCCCCCCAUGGACCCCCCCACCCCCACAAACGGGACCUGCCCCCCCACCUCACCUCGGGGCUAAGGUCAGCCCCCCUGCAGCUUUCCCCGUACCCCUCCCCCCACCACAAGCCCCCCCAGGCCUCCUUGCCCCAUUCUGAGGACAUGGGCUACCCCCCGUGCCCUGGGAUGCACCCUCUCUACCCCCCACAGCCCCCACCUCGAGGAGGAGGAGUGCUCUGUCAGCUUCUAGACCCCCCCAGCGAUGACAGCUUCAGUGUCACCAGCCUGUAGGCACAGGUGUAUUAAAUCUCAACCCUUUUCAGAUUUCUACACUUUUUUUAAGGAGAGACUUUCAGAACAAGAUAAAGGACGAUCAUUUAUCUGCCAGCUCUGGAGAGUAGAGCUUUAGUUCUCCAGCUAUGACAAUCACACACACACACACACACACACACACACACACACACACACACACACACACACACACACACACACACACACACACACCCACCCAGCUGGAAAGAAGGAGUGACAGAGGCUGAGGCUGAACCGAGAGGCUGAGCCUUUCCCUAACCCUAAACCCUACACCCUACACCCUACACCCUGCACUCUGUGUGUUCAAUAGGAGGGAAGUGAACUACGGCAUCAGCUCUUGAAUUACCAGCAUCUGUACAAAGACUCCAACUCACAGACCCAUAAUCUCACCACAACAAUGAAACAAUGGCAUCAACAAGGACUGCAGUAUGGUGACUACAUCCUGUGUUCUGAUGGAAGGACUGCAGUAUGGAGACUACAUCCUGUGUUCUGAUGGAAGGACUGCAGUAUGGUGACUACAUCCUGUGUUCUGAUGGAAGGACUGCAGUAUGGAGACUACAUCCUGUGUUCUGAUGGAAGGACUGCAGUAUGGAGACUACAUCCUGUGUUCUGAUGGAAGGACUGCAGUAUGGAGACUACAUCCUGUGUUCUGAUGGAAGGACUGCAGUAUGGUGACUACAUCCUGUGUUCUGAUGGAAGGACUGCAGUAUGGAGACUACAUUCUGUGUUCUGAUGGAAGGACUGCAGUAUGGAGACUACAUCCUGUGUUCUGAUGGAAGGACUGCAGUAUGGAGACUACAUCCUGUGUUCUGAUGGAAGGACUGCAGUAUGGAGACUACAUCCUGUGUUCUGAUGGAAGGACUGCAGUAUGGAGACUACAUCCUGUGUUCUGAUGGAAGGACUGCAGUAUGGAGACUACAUCCUGUGUUCUGAUGGAAGGACUGCAGUAUGGAGACUACAUCCUGUGUUCUGAUGGAAGGACUGCAGUAUGGAGACUACAUCCUGUGUUCUGAUGGAAGGACUGCAGUAUGGAGACUACAUCCUGUGUUCUGAUGGAAGGACUGCAGUAUGGAGACUACAUCCUGUGUUCUGAUGGAAGGACUGCAGUAUGGUGACUACAUCCUGUGUUCUGAUGGAAGGACUGCAGUAUGGAGACUACAUCCUGUGUUCUGAUGGAAGGACUGCAGUAUGGAGACUACAUCCUGUGUUCUGAUGGAAGGACUGCAGUAUGGUGACUACAUCCUGUGUUCUGAUGGAAGGACUGCAGUAUGGAGACUACAUCCUGUGUUCUGAUGGAAGGACUGCAGUAUGGAGACUACAUCCUGUGUUCUGAUGGAAGGACUGCAGUAUGGAGACUACAUCCUGUGUUCUGAUGGAAGGACUGCAGUAUGGAGACUACAUCCUGUGUUCCACUGUUUUUACUACGAAGGAAAGAGACCCGAGACACUCUGACCCCAAAAAGAUUGGCACGUGUGUGUAUUUGUGUAUGUGUGCGUGUGUGUGACCACGCGGAUGGACUUUUUUGUGUGUGUGUGUGUGUGUGUGUGUGUUUGUUUGGGGUCUAAAGGGGUGGAGCUCUGAAUCUGAUAGGGUGGUAUGAUUGAACAGAGCUUCUCUCCUUUCAUUUACUCUCUCCCUUCUUUUUUCUGUGGUCUUGUGUUGUUUGGUGGUUUUUGUGAUGAACAGUUGUGUAUCUGUCUGUUAAAAUCAUGAUGUAUCUAUGGUGCCAAUACUGAAAUACACUCUGAUCUGGCCAUUGGUAAA
Molecule: non-coding RNA, 2208 nt
Organism: Oncorhynchus mykiss (rainbow trout)
Lineage: Eukaryota; Metazoa; Chordata; Actinopteri; Salmoniformes; Salmonidae
Source: RefSeq, a predicted model, not a curated record